RNAcentral lists this ribosomal RNA (446 nucleotides) under uncultured Thiobacillus sp. RNAcentral's name for it is "bacterial SSU rRNA". It matches the Rfam family "Bacterial small subunit ribosomal RNA", at positions 925 to 1382 of the family's 1533-position model. Lineage: Bacteria; Pseudomonadati; Pseudomonadota; Betaproteobacteria; Nitrosomonadales; Thiobacillaceae. The record is from RNAcentral.
ACAAGCGGUGGAGCAUGUGGUUAAUUCGAUGAUACGCGAGACUUACCGGGUUGACAUGCAGGUGAUCGCCGUUGAAAGGCGGUUUCCUCUUCGGAGGCACCUGCACAGGUGCUGCAUGGCUGUCGUCAGCUCGUGUCGUGAGAUGUUGGGUUAAGUCCCGCAACGAGCGCAACCCUUAUCAUUAGUUGCUACGCAAGGGCACUCUAAUGAGACUGCCGGUGACAAACCGGAGGAAGGUGGGGAUGACGUCAAGUCCUCAUGGCCCUUAUGGGUAGGGCUUCGCACGUCAUACAAUGGUCGGUACAGAGGGUUGCCAAGCCGCGAGGCGGAGCCAAUCCCACAAAGCCGAUCGUAGUCCGGAUUGUUCUCUGCAACUCGAGAGCAUGAAGUCGGAAUCGCUAGUAAUCGCAGGUCAGCAUACUGCGGUGAAUACGUUCCCGGGUCUU